Molecule: ribosomal RNA, 274 nt
Filed under: uncultured bacterium
Lineage: Bacteria
Description: partial 16S ribosomal RNA
Rfam family: Bacterial small subunit ribosomal RNA
Source: RNAcentral
AUACGGAGGGAGCGAGCGUUAAUCGGAAUUACUGGGCGUAAAGCGCGCGUAGGCGGCUUUGUAAGUCGGAUGUGAAAGCCCUGGGCUCAACCUGGGAAUGGCAUUCGAUACUGCAUAACUAGAGUAUGGUAGAGGGAAGUGGAAUUUCCGGUGUAGCGGUGAAAUGCGUAGAUAUCGGAAGGAACACCAGUGGCGAAGGCGACUUCCUGGGCCAAUACUGACGCUGAGGUGCGAAAGCGUGGGGAGCAAACAGGAUUAGAAACCCCAGUAGUCC